RNAcentral lists this ribosomal RNA (3010 nucleotides) under Salmonella enterica subsp. enterica serovar Typhimurium str. L-3553. Its description in RNAcentral is "bacterial LSU rRNA". It matches the Rfam family "Bacterial large subunit ribosomal RNA". Lineage: Bacteria; Pseudomonadati; Pseudomonadota; Gammaproteobacteria; Enterobacterales; Enterobacteriaceae. The record is from RNAcentral.
GGUUAAGCGACUAAGCGUACACGGUGGAUGCCCUGGCAGUCAGAGGCGAUGAAGGGCGUGCUAAUCUGCGAUAAGCGCCGGUAAGGUGAUAUGAACCGUUAUAACCGGCGAUACCCGAAUGGGGAAACCCAGUGUGAUUCGUCACACUAUCAUUAACUGAAUCCAUAGGUUAAUGAGGCGAACCGGGGGAACUGAAACAUCUAAGUACCCCGAGGAAAAGAAAUCAACCGAGAUUCCCCCAGUAGCGGCGAGCGAACGGGGAGGAGCCCAGAGCCUGAAUCAGCAUGUGUGUUAGUGGAAGCGUCUGGAAAGGCGCGCGAUACAGGGUGACAGCCCCGUACACAAAAGCGCAUGUGCUGUGAGCUCGAUGAGUAGGGCGGGACACGUGGUAUCCUGUCUGAAUAUGGGGGGACCAUCCUCCAAGGCUAAAUACUCCUGACUGACCGAUAGUGAACCAGUACCGUGAGGGAAAGGCGAAAAGAACCCCGGCGAGGGGAGUGAAAAAGAACCUGAAACCGUGUACGUACAAGCAGUGGGAGCACCCUUCGGGGUGUGACUGCGUACCUUUUGUAUAAUGGGUCAGCGACUUAUAUUCUGUAGCAAGGUUAACCGUAUAGGGGAGCCGGAGGGAAACCGAGUCUUAAUUGGGCGUUAAGUUGCAGGGUAUAGACCCGAAACCCGGUGAUCUAGCCAUGGGCAGGUUGAAGGUUGGGUAACACUAACUGGAGGACCGAACCGACUAAUGUUGAAAAAUUAGCGGAUGACCUGUGGCUGGGGGUGAAAGGCCAAUCAAACCGGGAGAUAGCUGGUUCUCCCCGAAAGCUAUUUAGGUAGCGCCUCGUGAAUUCAUCUCCGGGGGUAGAGCACUGUUUCGGCUAGGGGGCCAUCCCGGCUUACCAACCCGAUGCAAACUGCGAAUACCGGAGAAUGUUAUCACGGGAGACACACGGCGGGUGCUAACGUCCGUCGUGAAGAGGGAAACAACCCAGACCGCCAGCUAAGGUCCCAAAGUCAUGGUUAAGUGGGAAACGAUGUGGGAAGGCCCAGACAGCCAGGAUGUUGGCUUAGAAGCAGCCAUCAUUUAAAGAAAGCGUAAUAGCUCACUGGUCGAGUCGGCCUGCGCGGAAGAUGUAACGGGGCUAAACCAUGCACCGAAGCUGCGGCAGCGAACGUAUCACCCAAGACAACUUUACGGAGUUGACGAUUGACGGAGCGAAGCGACGUCAAAGCGUUCAUUAAAGUCGAGUUGGCUUAGGGAUACGUUCGUUGGGUAGGGGAGCGUUCUGUAAGCCUGUGAAGGUGUGUCGUGAGGCAUGCUGGAGGUAUCAGAAGUGCGAAUGCUGACAUAAGUAACGAUAAAGCGGGUGAAAAGCCCGCUCGCCGGAAGACCAAGGGUUCCUGUCCAACGUUAAUCGGGGCAGGGUGAGUCGACCCCUAAGGCGAGGCCGAAAGGCGUAGUCGAUGGGAAACGGGUUAAUAUUCCCGUACUUGGUGUUACUGCGAAGGGGGGACGGAGAAGGCUAUGUUGGCCGGGCGACGGUUGUCCCGGUUUAAGCGUGUAGGUGUGUGUUCCAGGUAAAUCCGGUUCACUUUAACACUGAGGCGUGACGACGAGGCACUACGGUGCUGAAGCAACAAAUGCCCUGCUUCCAGGAAAAGCCUCUAAGCAUCAGGUAACACGAAAUCGUACCCCAAACCGACACAGGUGGUCAGGUAGAGAAUACCAAGGCGCUUGAGAGAACUCGGGUGAAGGAACUAGGCAAAAUGGUGCCGUAACUUCGGGAGAAGGCACGCUGACACGUAGGUGAAGUGAUUUACUCAUGGAGCUGAAGUCAGUCGAAGAUACCAGCUGGCUGCAACUGUUUAUUAAAAACACAGCACUGUGCAAACACGAAAGUGGACGUAUACGGUGUGACGCCUGCCCGGUGCCGGAAGGUUAAUUGAUGGGGUCAGCGUAAGCGAAGCUCCUGAUCGAAGCCCCGGUAAACGGCGGCCGUAACUAUAACGGUCCUAAGGUAGCGAAAUUCCUUGUCGGGUAAGUUCCGACCUGCACGAAUGGCGUAAUGAUGGCCAGGCUGUCUCCACCCGAGACUCAGUGAAAUUGAACUCGCUGUGAAGAUGCAGUGUACCCGCGGCAAGACGGAAAGACCCCGUGAACCUUUACUAUAGCUUGACACUGAACAUUGAGCCUUGAUGUGUAGGAUAGGUGGGAGGCUUUGAAGUGUGGACGCCAGUCUGCAUGGAGCCGACCUUGAAAUACCACCCUUUAAUGUUUGAUGUUCUAACGUGGACCCGUAAUCCGGGUUGCGGACAGUGUCUGGUGGGUAGUUUGACUGGGGCGGUCUCCUCCUAAAGAGUAACGGAGGAGCACGAAGGUUGGCUAAUCCUGGUCGGACAUCAGGAGGUUAGUGCAAUGGCAUAAGCCAGCUUGACUGCGAGCGUGACGGCGCGAGCAGGUGCGAAAGCAGGUCAUAGUGAUCCGGUGGUUCUGAAUGGAAGGGCCAUCGCUCAACGGAUAAAAGGUACUCCGGGGAUAACAGGCUGAUACCGCCCAAGAGUUCAUAUCGACGGCGGUGUUUGGCACCUCGAUGUCGGCUCAUCACAUCCUGGGGCUGAAGUAGGUCCCAAGGGUAUGGCUGUUCGCCAUUUAAAGUGGUACGCGAGCUGGGUUUAGAACGUCGUGAGACAGUUCGGUCCCUAUCUGCCGUGGGCGCUGGAGAACUGAGGGGGGCUGCUCCUAGUACGAGAGGACCGGAGUGGACGCAUCACUGGUGUUCGGGUUGUCAUGCCAAUGGCACUGCCCGGUAGCUAAAUGCGGAAGAGAUAAGUGCUGAAAGCAUCUAAGCACGAAACUUGCCCCGAGAUGAGUUCUCCCUGAGACUUAGAGUCUCCUGAAGGAACGUUGAAGACGACGACGUUGAUAGGCCGGGUGUGUAAGCGCAGCGAUGCGUUGAGCUAACCGGUACUAAUGAACCGUGAGGCUUAACCUUACAACGCCGAAGAUGUUUUG